GUUGGGAAAGCCGCAUUGAUAGUC
This 24-nucleotide non-coding RNA is filed under the name Arabidopsis thaliana (thale cress). Lineage: Eukaryota; Viridiplantae; Streptophyta; Magnoliopsida; Brassicales; Brassicaceae. The record is from RNAcentral.